RNAcentral lists this unclassified non-coding RNA (268 nucleotides) under rhizosphere metagenome. Its description in RNAcentral is "partial ribosomal RNA internal transcribed spacer region". The record is from RNAcentral.
AGAGUGAAGAGGACAGACAGCGCCCCACAGUACCCUGUGGCGGGCUACCCUUGCGGCACCCCCGCGGGGUUUAGAGUCGUCGAACCUCUCGGAGAAGUUCGGUCCCAAACUCCACCCUUGAAUAAAUUACCUUUGUUGCUUUGGCAGGCCGCCUCGUGCCAGCGGCUUCGGCUGUUGAGUGCCUGCCAGAGGACCACAACUCUUGCUUUCAGUGAUGUCUGAGUACUAUAUAAUAGUUAAAACUUUCAAUAACGGAUCUCUUGGUUCU